RNAcentral lists this ribosomal RNA (244 nucleotides) under uncultured bacterium. RNAcentral describes it as "partial 16S ribosomal RNA". It matches the Rfam family "Bacterial small subunit ribosomal RNA", at positions 331 to 595 of the family's 1533-position model. The record is from RNAcentral.
CCUGCCUACGGGACGCAGCAGUGGGGAAUAUUGGACAAUGGGGGGAACCCUGAUCCAACGACGCCGCGUGAGUGAAGAAGUAUUUCGGUAUGUAAAGCUCUAUCAGCAGGGAAGAAAAUGACGGUACCUGACUAAGAAGCCCCGGCUAACUACGUGCCAGCAGCCGCGGUAAUACGUAGGGGGCAAGCGUUAUCCGGAUUUACUGGGUGUAAAGGGAGCGAAGACGGUGCAGCAAGUCUGAUGU